CAAUCAGAAAAAUGUCCACCAGCUGAUCACAUAUCCCAUAACUGCUCUUCCCUCAUCAUCUUUAAAAAUUUUUCCCUGAAAGACUGGAGGAAUUAGGGUCUUUUAAGACCCAGGCUUGCUUGUUGGAUGUACCUCAAUAAACACUGCACUUUCCUUGACUACAACCCUCUUUCAGUAGAGUGGCUUUACUGACUGCACGCAAGCCUGAGGCAAGGUUGGUCUCACCUGUUCUUCAGGUGAGAACAGUUGACUUGCCAGGAUUUGGAACCAUUAGUUUGGAUCAGAAUCGCCUGAAGGCCUUGUUAAGUCACAGAGUAACGGGCCUCUCGCGCAGAGCCUCUGAUCUGAAAUAAUUAAUUUGGGGGUGGAGCAUUUGCUCCUGUAACAAGUUCGGAAUGAGGAUAGUGCUGCGGCUGCAAGAACCACGCUUCCAGAAAGCGGAACGAGAGAGAUCUUGAUCAGGAGAGGCACCUGAGGCUCUUCGGGACAGAAGGGUAAUUCACAGGACAGUAAGAAGAACAUUUGAAUGAACGCCUCCUUGAAAACCCCAGCUGAAGACAGUCAUCUUCAAAUAGAUGAAGAGGAUGAAUAUAAAUGGGACACACUUAUCUUUCAACCAUCAAAUUCUGUUUUCUGCAUCUGUAAAGGUUUUGUCUUCUCUCCUGUUUUUAUAGAUGAAAAAAAGUGAAGUUAACCUCUCCAAUUAUCGCCUCUUCUCUUUUCUUAUGAAUGUCAGAUUUGCAUUUAUUAUUAUUCUUUCACAUAGCAAAUUUUGUUCAUCUUCAUUAGAUCAUGCAUAUUUGCAUAAAGUAACUUUCAUCUUUUAAACAGUCUUUCUUUUAACUCCACCUUUUCUCCCAACUAUUAUUCCUCUAUUCCCUUUCCUAAGCAAAUCUCAAAAUAAUUUUUUACACUCACUGUCUUCACUUUCUCAUUUAUCAGUUACUCUUUACCCUAUUCCAACCUAAUGAUGAAAGGUUGAUGGUUAAAGUUAACAAUGACCUAUAAAGUGGCAAAUCCAAGAGCUGCUUUUCUGUCUUCACUUCAUUUAAUAUCUCCACAAUAUUUAACAUCACUGAUCACAUUCUCUCUUUAUGAUAUACUUGAAUCUUUUUACUACUAUAAUAGACUCAAUAAUAG
Molecule: long non-coding RNA, 1140 nt
Organism: Bubalus bubalis (water buffalo)
Lineage: Eukaryota; Metazoa; Chordata; Mammalia; Artiodactyla; Bovidae
Exons: 3
Source: RefSeq, a predicted model, not a curated record